GAUGAACGCUGGCGGCGUGCCUAAUACAUGCAAGUAGAACGCUGAAGGAGGAGCUUGCUCUUCUGGAUGAGUUGCGAACGGGUGAGUAACGCGUAGGUAACCUGCCUGUUAGCGGGGGAUAACUAUUGGAAACGAUAGCUAAUACCGCAUGACAACAGUUAUUGCAUGAUAACUGUUUAAAAGGGGCAACUGCUCCACUACCAGAUGGACCUGCGUUGUAUUAGCUAGUUGGUGAGGUAACGGCUCACCAAGGCGACGAUGCAUAGCCGACCUGAGAGGUUGAUCGGCCACACGGGAACUGAGACCCGGCCCGGACUCCUACGGGAGGAAGCAGAAGGGAACCUUCGGCAAAGGACGAAAGCCUGACGGAGCAACGCGGCGGGGGUGAUGAAGGUUUCGGAUCGUAAAGCUCUGUUGUAAGAGAAGAACGAGUGUGAGAGUGGAAAGUUCACACUGUGACGGUAUCUUACCAGAAAGGGACGGCUAACUACGUG
This 494-nucleotide ribosomal RNA is filed under the name uncultured bacterium. Its description in RNAcentral is "partial 16S ribosomal RNA". It matches the Rfam family "Bacterial small subunit ribosomal RNA", at positions 28 to 507 of the family's 1533-position model. The record is from RNAcentral.